CGAGCGAACAGGGAAGAGCCCAGCACUGAAUCCCGCGGUCAGAUCGAUCGCCGGGAAAUGUAGUGUUAGGAAGGGUCCGUUAUCUUCGCGCCCGUCGACUCGUCCAAGUCCAUCUUGAACGGGGCCACAACCCAUAGAGGGUGCCAGGCCCGUAGGACGAAGACGGUUGCGGAGAGGAUCACUUCCGAGAGUCGGGUUGCUUGAGAGUGCAGCCCUAAGUGGGUGGUAAACUCCAUCUAAGGCUAAAUAUGACCACGAGACCGAUAGCGAACAAGUACCGCGAGGGAAAGUUGAAAAGAACUUUGAAGAGAGAGUUCAAUAGUACGUGAAACCGUUCAGGGGUAAACCUGAGAAACCCGAAAGGUCGAACGGAGAGAUUCAUUCGCGGUUCGGGCGGUGAUCUAGAGCGUUGGGAAGACGUUACGUUCCUCGUGAGCGAGACGCCCCUUCGUCUCGGAUCCGCCGUCGAACGCGUGCACUUCUUUCCUAGUAGGACGUCGCGAUCCGUUGAGUGCCGGUCGAAGGGUCCGUAAGGAAGCCCGCGAACGCGAUGAAAAUCGUCGUUUGCGGACCUGCGGUCUCCUGUCCGGCCGCUCGACGGUGUACAGACGGUGAGAGACCGCGAUUUUCGCGCCUGGUCGGUCGCAAACGCGCUACGUGCGUCGGCUUUCGGUUUUACCGAUGAUGCCGGCCUCUAGCGGUUGUUGGCGAUCGUACUCUCGGGCAGAUCUCUUUUUAACCGAUCUGCGACGCUACAGCUUUGGGUACUCUCAGGGCCCGUCUUGAAACACGGACCAAGGAGUCCAGUGUGUACGCGAGUCAUUGGGUCCGACUAAACCUAAAGGCGUAAUGAAAGUAAAGAUCCGCAAGGAUCUAGGGAAGAUGACCGACCUUCUGGUCGGUCCGCACUCCCGGGGUGUCUCUAUCUUUUAUAGAUGAGGCGCACCAAGAGCGUACACGCUGGGACCCGAAAGAUGGUGAACUAUGCCCGGUCAGGACGAAGUCAGGGGAAACCCUGAUGGAGGUCCGUAGCGGUUCUGACGUGCAAAUCGAUCGUCUGAACUGGGUAUAGGGGCGAAAGACUAAUCGAACCAUCUAGUAGCUGGUUCCCCCCGAAGUUUCCCUCAGGAUAGCUGGCGCUCGAUACGAUUCUCAUCCGGUAAAGCGAAUGAUUAGAGGCAUUGGGGUCGAAACGAUCUC
RNAcentral lists this ribosomal RNA (1200 nucleotides) under Sarapidus sp. AG09. RNAcentral describes it as "eukaryotic LSU rRNA". It matches the Rfam family "Eukaryotic large subunit ribosomal RNA", at positions 90 to 1048 of the family's 3401-position model. Lineage: Eukaryota; Metazoa; Arthropoda; Insecta; Coleoptera; Coccinellidae. The record is from RNAcentral.